GUGGGGAAUAUUGGGCAAUGGACGAAAGUCUGACGGAGCAACGCCGCGUGAGUGAUGAAGGUUUUCGGACUGUAAAGCUCUGUUGUUUAGGACGAAAGUGCCUGUUGCAAAUAGUUACAGGUAUUGACGGUACUGAACGAGGAAGCCACGGCUAACUACGUGCCAGCAGCCGCGGUAAUACGUAGGUGGCAAGCGUUGUCCGGAAUUAUUGGGCGUAAAGAGCAUGUAGGCGGGAAUCUAAGUCUGUUGUGAAAAUGCGGGGCUCAACCCCGUAUUGCGAUGGAAACUGGGUUUCUUGAGUGCAGGAGAGGAAAGGGUAAUUCCCAGUGUAGCGGUGAAAUGCGUAGAUAUUGGGAGGAACACCAGUGGCGAAGGCGCCUUUCUGGACUGUGUCUGACGCUGAGAUGCGAAAGCCAGGGUAGCGAACGGGAUUAGAAACCCCUGUAGUCC
This 450-nucleotide ribosomal RNA is filed under the name uncultured bacterium. RNAcentral describes it as "partial 16S ribosomal RNA". It matches the Rfam family "Bacterial small subunit ribosomal RNA", at positions 354 to 796 of the family's 1533-position model. The record is from RNAcentral.